Long non-coding RNA from Cyprinus carpio carpio, 483 nucleotides. NCBI's taxonomy places the organism in Eukaryota, Metazoa, Chordata, Actinopteri, Cypriniformes, Cyprinidae. The record is from Ensembl.
UGCUACACAUGCACAGUGUCAGAGAUCGUGUGCGGUCAGGUCUACUCAGUGGUCGUCGCCCCACUGAAUCCAGACGGAAACUAGGUCCAGUUCUUUAACAGCAGGCUGUAUUCAGUCACAUGUGUGGGCAGCAGUGUUGGAUUGGUGAUCUAUCAAGGAAAAAGAUAAUGAUGGGAUGGAUGUCCUUCAAACAGUGAGGGUUGGAAGGAUUUUCUGGAAAGGCAGUUUCAAUAUUAAAGUUAUAACAGACUGAAAGAUUGAUCGUUACAGAGGUAAACAGACAGGGAAAUAUGAGCUAAAUAAAUGGCAGACAACAAUGGCCACAUACUUGACUGAAAAGUGGCUAAAACGCUAUAAAAACCAGCCAAUACGCUGGACCGGGGAGUGACCAAUAUGACUGGGGUUAGAUGAGGAAUUCAUAAUGCAAAAAUAAUAUAUAAAACUACUUCUUAACAAACAUUAAACAAUCUAGAAUUAGGGCCA